UUAAGGCCCAAUCGAAGCUGACCGCGAUCCAUAUCACGUUUCAGUCAAUAUGAGGCCUAUAGUAACAUUUGUCGAUAAGGUCGCACGUGCGUGACAUACGCAACUGUGCAUCACCCACGACAAAUACAAAA
This is a small nucleolar RNA of Achroia grisella, 131 nucleotides long. The record is from RefSeq and is a predicted model, not a curated record. Lineage: Eukaryota; Metazoa; Arthropoda; Insecta; Lepidoptera; Pyralidae.